This 492-nucleotide ribosomal RNA is filed under the name uncultured bacterium. RNAcentral's name for it is "partial 16S ribosomal RNA". It matches the Rfam family "Bacterial small subunit ribosomal RNA", at positions 29 to 507 of the family's 1533-position model. The record is from RNAcentral.
AGUGAACGCUGGCGGUAGGCCUAACACAUGCAAGUCGAACGGCAGCACAGUAAGAGCUUGCUCUUACGGGUGGCGAGUGGCGGACGGGUGAGGAAUACAUCGGAAUCUACUUUUUCGUGGGGGAUAACGUAGGGAAACUUACGCUAAUACCGCAUACGACCUACGGGUGAAAGCAGGGGAUCUUCUGACCUUGCGCGAUUGAAUGAGCCGAUGUCGGAUUAGCUAGUUGGCGGGGUAAAGGCCCACCAAGGCGACGAUCCGUAGCUGGUCUGAGAGGAUGAUCGGCCACAUGGGAACUGAGACACGGUCCAGACUCCUAAGGGAGGCAGCAGUGGGGAAUAUUGGACAACGGGCGCAAGCCUGAUCCAGCCAUACCGCGUGGGUGAAGAAGGCCUUCGGGUUGUAAAGCCCUUUUGUUGGGAAAGAAAAGCAGCAGGUUAAUACCCCGCUGUUCUGACGGUACCCAAAGAAUAAGCACCGGCUAACUUCGUG